Long non-coding RNA from Myiozetetes cayanensis, 1912 nucleotides. RefSeq lists it as uncharacterized. The record is from RefSeq and is a predicted model, not a curated record. The transcript has 4 exons. NCBI's taxonomy places the organism in Eukaryota, Metazoa, Chordata, Aves, Passeriformes, Tyrannidae.
CAAAACACAGUGGCUGUCACUUUUGAGAAACAAAUAACACAGAGCUUUGUCCUGCUGCUGCCUUGCAGCUGCAGCUGGGCAGCAUCACUCUGCCCCUCCAGCUCGAGCACAGCACCACUGUGUCCCCGGGGCGCCAGCGCUGUCACCAAGAGGGAACAGCAUUUGCUUUAGCUGCGCUUCCAGCAUAAAGGAGACAAAAGCCCAAAACUGCUUGCUCCAGAGAGGCUGAACAGGAUUACUUUGUGACUUCUUUUUAAAAGAACCCAGUGAAUCAGAAGGAAAGAAAAAGACGUUUAAGAAGAUGACAUUGCCGAUUGUUUUCCAGCGUGAAGAACUGGAGAGCUGAAGGGAGGACAGAGCGUGAGGGAAAGUGAAAGAGAAAAGAAAGCGUGAAUUCAUCUGUGCUGUGGCACUGUGAGACUAUUGAAAAGCUGUUAUUUUCCUUCAGAGUCUUCAGGAGCUCUUGAGUCCAAAGCUACCUGUGGGGCUCUGACAGAAGAGCACAAGACUGGACACCUUGAGCUCCUGCCAGUGCUCCCUGGUCUCGAUGCCCGGUGACAGAGGAAAAAGCUGAUUGCCCAGAACUUUUGUGUGUCCAUUGACUCUGGGCUCAGGAUGCUUUCCCAGGUUUGUGAGACACAUAUCACAACCUGUGUGAAGUGGAAGUUUUCUGCAGAGAUUGGGCUACUGGAGAGAUCCCAGAACUGAAAACUCUGCCUGUGUUGUGUCAGAAGAAUAUUUGGGCACAGAAUUCAGUUAUCUGAGAGAAGUUUUGGUUCCUGUUCAAAGAAAUCAUCAAUCCAACGAGUUUACAGUAAAUGAUUUUAUUAAUUUUUGGGGGGAAGAUUUCUCUGCUAUUUAAUCUGUUUUGCAGCUCCAUGAUGGGAAUGGCUCCUCUUCCAAUCCUGUGACUCGAGUCAGACUGGCAACAACAGUGCCUUUCUCCUCCUCCUCCUCCUCACUCCAACAGUAAAUUCCUUUGCUGGGCUGCACCUUGAAUUCAGCAGUUUUAACUCAGCUUCUUCACAUGCACCAUCAAUACUGGGGGAACUUCGUGGCCCAGAGUCUUAGCAACAAUCAAAUGUAAAACUAUCCCUGCGAGGUGAGCUGUUGCUCAGGAGCAGAAUCUCAGUCACUGACUGAGGAGUCUGAAGAGUUUUUUUUCUGAAUUUUACCUCGAGUUACUCCUGUGCCAGGACAAAAUGAGCUUCAUUCUGUUGUGUGAGUGGUUGCUGCUCAAAUGAACACAGUGUUCGAUGCAUCUUCCAUGGAAAAUUGCUAGAAAGCAGAGGAACUGAGAAGAGGAGGAACUUUUUAAAAACUGUGUAUCCAGAGCUAUUCUUGUGCUAUUUAUACAAAGCCUUUUGCAUCUGUGACUGCAUGUUAGAGAGGUACAAAAUGUCCUUCCAGAGCAAACUUACUCAGACCAAUUCAGACGUAUUUGGCAGCUCAUAAAGGUGUUUAACUGUUCGUGUAUCUGGGUAGAAGACUCAAGUACUUUUGAUUUUAAGACUGAAAUCAGGUGUUAAUAGUGACUUUUUCUCUCAACCUGCCACUAAGAUGAAAAUGCCCUUUUUCAAGUAGAAUUUGCCCAUGUCUAGCACUGCCAUUUUUUGUAUAGCAAGCACACAAAACUUCACUGAGCUUUGUAACCCUCCUUCCCUUCCCCAAUUCCUAUUAACUCCUGUAAAAAACACAAUUCCCAUUAACCCCUGUAAGAAACGCUCUUUGGGACUGUCACCUUGGAAACAUUUCAUGUAUUAGGUGUUAUAUAUGUGGAAAAAUAUUUACAAGUGUGGAAAGGAAAAUCGUGGCAGUACCAGGCCAUACUUUACUAGGUUGGUCCUGUUUCAUAUGGAUCCCUCUUCCAGCUGUGAUGGAAUCUGAUUUGCUCUUCCAUUCACGUGCAUCC